This 253-nucleotide ribosomal RNA is filed under the name uncultured bacterium. RNAcentral's name for it is "partial 16S ribosomal RNA". It matches the Rfam family "Bacterial small subunit ribosomal RNA", at positions 524 to 776 of the family's 1533-position model. The record is from RNAcentral.
GACGAAGGAUGCAACCGUUAUCCGGAUUCAUUGGGUUUAAAGGGCGCGUAGGUGGCCUGAUAAGUCAGUGGUGAAAUCUUUGGGCUUAACCCAAAAAUUGCCAUUGAUACUGUCGGUCUUGAGUAUAGUUGCCGUUGGCGGAAUAUGACAUGUAGUGGUGAAAUACAUAGAGAUGUCAUAGAACACCGAUUGCGAAGGCAGCUGACGAAACUAUAACUGACACUGAGGCUCGAAAGUGUGGGGAUCAAACAGG